GGGGCUAUAGCGCAGUUGGUAGCGCAUCUGCUUUGCAAGCAGAGGGUCGCCGGUUCGAACCCGGCUAACUCCA
This 73-nucleotide transfer RNA is filed under the name Aeriscardovia aeriphila. It matches the Rfam family "tRNA". From Rfam's summary of the family: Transfer RNA (tRNA) molecules are approximately 80 nucleotides in length. Their secondary structure includes four short double-helical elements and three loops (D, anti-codon, and T loops). Further hydrogen bonds mediate the characteristic L-shaped molecular structure. tRNAs have two regions of fundamental functional importance: the anti-codon, which is responsible for specific mRNA codon recognition, and the 3' end, to which the tRNAs corresponding amino acid is attached (by aminoacyl-tRNA synthetases). tRNAs cope with the degeneracy of the genetic code in two manners: having more than one tRNA (with a specific anti-codon) for a particular amino acid; and 'wobble' base-pairing, i.e. permitting non-standard base-pairing at the 3rd anti-codon position. Lineage: Bacteria; Bacillati; Actinomycetota; Actinomycetes; Bifidobacteriales; Bifidobacteriaceae. The record is from Rfam by way of RNAcentral.